AAGAAUGGCCAAAAUAAAAUUCAAAAUAUAAGUUCAGGUACGUUAUAAGAAUGCAACAUGUGUCACAAAGAACCUGACCUGUCCUAGGAUUUUAACAUUGUGAGUAUGUCAAGAACUUAAAAUGGAACCGGAUUUUAGUUAUUUAAUAUUGGAAGACCAAAUAAUGGAGAUAAUCAUGUAGAGCACAAGACGUGAACUAAGAGGCAAAUUUUGGGAAAAUAGUCGC
RNAcentral lists this long non-coding RNA (226 nucleotides) under Elaeis guineensis (African oil palm). RNAcentral's name for it is "long non-coding RNA (EGUI_LNC008756)". Lineage: Eukaryota; Viridiplantae; Streptophyta; Magnoliopsida; Arecales; Arecaceae. The record is from RNAcentral.